UGGGGAAUAUUGCACAAUGGGCGCAAGCCUGAUGCAGCCAUGCCGCGUGUAUGAAGAAGGCCUUCGGGUUGUAAAGUACUUUCAGCGGGGAGGAAGGGAGUAAAGUUAAUACCUUUGCUCAUUGACGUUACCCGCAGAAGAAGCACCGGCUAACUCCGUGCCAGCAGCCGCGGUAAUACGGAGGGUGCAAGCGUUAAUCGGAAUUACUGGGCGUAAAGCGCACGCAGGCGGUGUGUUAAGUCAGAUGUGAAAUCCCCGGGCUCAACCUGGGAACUGCAUCUGAUACUGGCAAGCUUGAGUCUCGUAGAGGGGGGUAGAAUUCCAGGUGUAGCGGUGAAAUGCGUAGAGAUCUGGAGGAAUACCGGUGGCGAAGGCGGCCCCCUGGACGAAGACUGACGCUCAGGUGCGAAAGCGUGGGGAGCAAACAGG
RNAcentral lists this ribosomal RNA (429 nucleotides) under Chloroflexota bacterium. RNAcentral describes it as "Chloroflexi bacterium partial 16S ribosomal RNA". It matches the Rfam family "Bacterial small subunit ribosomal RNA", at positions 355 to 776 of the family's 1533-position model. The record is from RNAcentral. Lineage: Bacteria; Bacillati; Chloroflexota.